UUCCGCGCAUGUUCGCGUGGGUGCCGGUUACGCAAGGAGGCCAACACAUGGCCGCAGGAACAGUUAAAUGGUUCAACGCCCAGAAGGGCUUUGGAUUUAUCCAGCCUGAUGAUGGAAGCGCUGACGCUUUCGUUCACAUCUCCGCCGUCGAGCAGGCUGGCCAGCAGACCCUGAACGAGGGACAGGCCGUGACGUAUGACCUCGAAAGGGGCCGUAACGGCAAGUCUUCCGCAGUCAAUCUGAAGAUUGGCUGACAAUUGCGGCAGGAACUUCGGUUCCUGCCGUUUUU
RNAcentral lists this unclassified non-coding RNA (289 nucleotides) under Komagataeibacter rhaeticus. Its description in RNAcentral is "cspA". The record is from RNAcentral. Lineage: Bacteria; Pseudomonadati; Pseudomonadota; Alphaproteobacteria; Acetobacterales; Acetobacteraceae.